UACGUAGGUGGCGAGCGUUGUCCGGAUUUACUGGGCGUAAAGAGCGCGCAGGCGGCUGGUCAAGUCCGAUGUGAAAGCUCCCGGCUUAACUGGGAAAUUGCAUCGGAAACUGAUCGGCUGGAAGGUGGGAGAGGGUAGCGGAAUUCCCGGUGUAGUGGUGAAAUGCGUAGAUAUCGGGAGGAACACCAGUGGCGAAGGCGGUUCUCUGGGCCUUACCUGACGCUGAGGAGCGAAAGCGUGGGGAGCGAACAGG
RNAcentral lists this ribosomal RNA (253 nucleotides) under uncultured bacterium. Its description in RNAcentral is "partial 16S ribosomal RNA". It matches the Rfam family "Bacterial small subunit ribosomal RNA", at positions 524 to 776 of the family's 1533-position model. The record is from RNAcentral.